Molecule: small nucleolar RNA, 128 nt
Organism: Mus spicilegus (steppe mouse)
Lineage: Eukaryota; Metazoa; Chordata; Mammalia; Rodentia; Muridae
Product: predicted gene, 22488
Source: Ensembl
GGGGUGUGCUCAGAGCAGGCAGCCUGAAGAAUGGCUUCUCUGUUUACAACACACCCAAGAAGAAUCUGGGACCAUUAUAAUGAGGGGCACAAGCAGUUUCCCUCUCUGUGAAUGGAUCCCCUACAUGU